Molecule: long non-coding RNA, 782 nt
Organism: Quercus robur (English oak)
Lineage: Eukaryota; Viridiplantae; Streptophyta; Magnoliopsida; Fagales; Fagaceae
Exons: 4
Source: RefSeq, a predicted model, not a curated record
CUUCUCCAUGUUGUACCUUUUCUUUCACCAAAACUCUUUCACGAAGAAAAUCAAACCCGAUACCCAAAAACGCGAUUCUCCUUCUCCUCUUUCUUCUUUAUUUCUCUACCCUUCUCCUCCCCCAAAUGCCAUUAUCUACAUCAGCUUCCUCAAAAUCUGACAACAAUCUUACUUCAAAACCACAGAAAUUCCCAAUCAGAUCUAAGAGACCAACUCUCAUGGGUCAUUCGGACAAAUCAAGUUUCAGAGACUGAGACAAUUCCAUUGGAGAGAGACUGAGACAAUUCCAUCGGACAAAUCUGGCCGCUGGGGAGACAAUAUGCUUCAAGAAAAGUUAAUUUCAGAGAUCUCUUAAGACAAGGCUUGCAUCUAGAAGCUUAUGAAUUUUAAGGAGAAAGAUGGCUUUUCAUUUUGAUUGGUGAUGAACUGGACUAAUUAUACCACUCACCAGUGGCAUGGAAUCUUUGAGUUAAGGUGAAAAGGGUUGCAUUGGUGAGCUUCUUUUGUAUUUCUCUUGCCUUUCGAAGGGCACGAGACUGAGGAUGUAUACUUUUAUAAUGCUUGGCCUACAUAAGAUGGAGUUUCUACUAAGGAACAAUUAGAUGCUUGCAGUGCACACAAGAUUGAGAUAGGGCUGAUGAAUAACAUUAUAUGUAAUAACAUUAUAACCUUAGUUCACCAAGUUCAAGGUCCUUAAUGUUUUUCUUUUAAUAUGUUUUUUAUUUAUUUAUUUAUUUAAAUGGAUGUAGUUUAUAUAAAGAUAUGUAAAGCAUUCUUGUGUU